RNAcentral lists this ribosomal RNA (800 nucleotides) under uncultured bacterium. RNAcentral describes it as "bacterial SSU rRNA". It matches the Rfam family "Bacterial small subunit ribosomal RNA", at positions 1 to 795 of the family's 1533-position model. The record is from RNAcentral.
UCGCCCUUAGAGUUUGAUCCUGGCUCAGGAUGAACGCUAGCGGCAGGCUUAAUACAUGCAAGUCGAGGGGCAGCACAGGUAGCAAUACUGGGUGGCGACCGGCAAACGGGUGCGGAACACGUACACAACUUACCUCAGGGUGGGGGAUAGCCCAGGGAAACUUGGAUUAAUACCCCAUAAAACAGGGGGCCCGCAUGGGCAUAUUGUUAAAGAUUUAUCGCCUUGAGAUGGGUGUGCGUAUGAUUAGGUAGUUGGUAGGGUAAAGGCCUACCAAGCCGACGAUCAUUAACUGGUGUGAGAGCACGACCAGUCACACGGGCACUGAGACACGGGCCCGACUCCUACGGGAGGCAGCAGUAAGGAAUAUUGGUCAAUGGACGGAAGUCUGAACCAGCCAUGCCGCGUGGAGGAUGAAGGUCCUCUGGAUUGUAAACUUCUUUUAUAGGGGGCGAAAAUGGGCCUUUUGAGGUCAACUGACGGUACCCUAUGAAUAAGCACCGGCUAACUCCGUGCCAGCAGCCGCGGUAAUACGGAGGGUGCAAGCGUUAUCCGGAUUUACUGGGUUUAAAGGGAGCGUAGGCGGGCUGAUAAGUCAGUGGUGAAAGCCCUCAGCUUAACUGAGGAACUGCCGUUGAUACUAUUAGUCUUGAAUGUUGUGGAGGUUUGCGGAAUAGGUCAUGUAGCGGUGAAAUGCUUAGAUAUGACCUGGAACACCUAUUGCGAAGGCAGCAGGCUACACAAAUAUUGACGCUGAGGCUCGAAAGCGUGGGGAUCAAACAGGAUUAGAUACCCUGGUAGUC